CUAUAGCCCCGAUAGUAGCGGCAUCCUUUUUCUUUUUUUGGCAAAAAAAAGAAAAAGAUAUAGUGGAUAGCGGGAUUAAGC
This 81-nucleotide small RNA is filed under the name Epilithonimonas zeae. RNAcentral's name for it is "Chryseobacterium zeae Flavo-1 RNA". It matches the Rfam family "Flavo-1 RNA". The record is from RNAcentral. Lineage: Bacteria; Pseudomonadati; Bacteroidota; Flavobacteriia; Flavobacteriales; Weeksellaceae.